This 520-nucleotide ribosomal RNA is filed under the name uncultured Glomeromycotina. Its description in RNAcentral is "SSU rRNA". It matches the Rfam family "Eukaryotic small subunit ribosomal RNA", at positions 569 to 1094 of the family's 1831-position model. Lineage: Eukaryota; Fungi; Glomeromycota. The record is from RNAcentral.
AGCAGCCGCGGUAAUUCCAGCUCCAAUAGCGUAUAUUAAAGUUGUUGCAGUUAAAAAGCUCGUAGUUGAAUUUCGGGAUUAGUACGCUGGUCGUGCCUUCGGUACGUACUGGUGUUACUGAUUCCUACCUUCUGACGAACCGUCAUGUCAUUAAUUUGAUGUGGCGGGGAAUCAGGACUGUUACUUUGAAAAAAUUAGAGUGUUUAAAGCAGGCUCGCGCUUGAAUACAUUAGCAUGGAAUAAUGAAAUAGGACGUUCGAUCCUAUUUUGUUGGUUUCUAGGAUUGACGUAGUGAUUAAUAGGGAUAGUUGGGGGCAUUAGUAUUCAAUUGUCAGAGGUGAAAUUCUUGGAUUUAUUGAAGACUAACUACUGCGAAAGCAUUUGCCAAGGAUGUUUUCAUUAAUCAAGAACGAAAGUUAGGGGAUCGAAGACGAUCAGAUACCGUCGUAGUCUUAACCAUAAACUAUGCCGACUAGGGAUCGGAUGAUGUUAUUUAAUGACUCAUUCGGCGCCUUACGGG